This 468-nucleotide ribosomal RNA is filed under the name uncultured bacterium. RNAcentral's name for it is "partial 16S ribosomal RNA". It matches the Rfam family "Bacterial small subunit ribosomal RNA", at positions 28 to 507 of the family's 1533-position model. The record is from RNAcentral.
GACGAACGCCGGCGGCGUGCUUAACACAUGCAAGUCGAACGGAAAGGCCCUGCUUUUGUGGGGUGCUCGAGUGGCGAACGGGUGAGUAACACGUGAGUAACCUGCCCUUGACUUUGGGAUAACUUCAGGAAACUGGGGCUAAUACCGGAUAGGAGCUCCUGCUGCAUGGUGGGGGUUGGAAAGUUUCGGCGGUUGGGGAUGGACUCGCGGCUUAUCAGCUUGUUGGUGGGGUAGUGGCUUACCAAGGCUUUGACGGUUAGCCGGCCUGAGAGGGUGACCGGCCACAUUGGGACUGAGAUACGGCCCAGACUCCUACGGGAGGCAGCAGUGGGGAAUAUUGCACAAUGGGCGGAAGCCUGAUGCAGCAACGCCGCGUGCGGGAUGACGGCCUUCGGGUUGUAAACCGCUUUCGCCUGUGACGAAGCGUGAGUGACGGUAAUGGGUAAAGAAGCACCGGCUAACUACGUG